UUGGAGCAACUUCGGUUUUAA
This is a non-coding RNA of Caenorhabditis elegans, 21 nucleotides long. The record is from Ensembl. Lineage: Eukaryota; Metazoa; Nematoda; Chromadorea; Rhabditida; Rhabditidae.